Molecule: ribosomal RNA, 253 nt
Filed under: uncultured bacterium
Lineage: Bacteria
Description: partial 16S ribosomal RNA
Rfam family: Bacterial small subunit ribosomal RNA
Source: RNAcentral
UACAGGGGGGGCAAGCGUUGUUCGGAAUUACUGGGCGUAAAGGGCUCGUAGGCGGCCAACUAAGCCAGACGUGAAAUCCCUCGGCUUAACCGGGGAACUGCGUCUGAUACUGGAUGGCUUGAGAUUGGGAGAGGGAUGCGGAAUUCCAGGUGUAGCGGUGAAAUGCGUAGAUAUCUGGAGGAACACCGGUGGCGAAGGCGGCAUCCUGGACCAACACUGACGCUGAGGAGCGAAAGCCAGGGGAGCAAACGGG